GGGGCCCGCACAAGCGGUGGAGCAUGUGGUUUAAUUCGAUGCAACGCGAAGAACCUUACCUACUCUUGACAUCCAGCGAAGCCUUUAGAGAUAGAGGCGUGCCUUCGGGAGCGCUGAGACAGGUGCUGCAUGGCUGUCGUCAGCUCGUGUUGUGAAAUGUUGGGUUAAGUCCCGCAACGAGCGCAACCCUUAUCCUUGUUUGCCAGCACAUAAUGGUGGGAACUCCAGGGAGACUGCCGGUGAUAAACCGGAGGAAGGUGGGGACGACGUCAAGUCAUCAUGGCCCUUACGAGUAGGGCUACACACGUGCUACAAUGGCAGAUACAGAGGGUAGCGAGACAGCGAUGUUUAGCGAAUCCCUUAAAGUUUGUCGUAGUCCGGAUUGGAGUCUGCAACUCGACUCCAUGAAGUCGGAAUCGCUAGUAAUCGUGGAUCAGAAUGCCACGGUGAAUACGUUCCCGGGCCUUGUACACACCGCCCGUCACACCAUGGGAGUGGGCUGCACCAGAAGUAGAUAGCUUAACCUUCGGGAGGGCGUUUACCACGGUGUGGUUCAUGAC
This 560-nucleotide ribosomal RNA is filed under the name uncultured bacterium. RNAcentral describes it as "bacterial SSU rRNA". It matches the Rfam family "Bacterial small subunit ribosomal RNA", at positions 916 to 1475 of the family's 1533-position model. The record is from RNAcentral.